RNAcentral lists this ribosomal RNA (579 nucleotides) under Scaeva pyrastri. RNAcentral describes it as "eukaryotic LSU rRNA". Lineage: Eukaryota; Metazoa; Arthropoda; Insecta; Diptera; Syrphidae. The record is from RNAcentral.
AGUACGUGAAACUGCUUAGAGGUUAAACCCGAUGAACCUGAAUAUCCAUUAUGGAAAAUUCAUCAUUAAUAAUAUAGUAUAAAUAAUAUUGUAUAAAUAGUGUGCAAUUUUUCCAUAUAAGGACAUUGUAAUCUGUUAAUGUAAUAAAUAUUUAUCAUAAGAUUCAUUACACUUAGUUUAUUCAAAUUAUUUAUUUUCGGAUAUUUAACAUAGAAUAAAUGUUUUGGAUUUGAUAAAUCAUUGACAGAUAUAAUUAUAUAAUGUGCUUAAAUUCUUUAGAAUUUUAUCAAUGGUAGGAAAUAUUUUUUCUUAUUUAAUUGUAUGCAUUAUUAUGAUUAACAAUGCGAGAGAUUCAGGAUACCUUCGGGACCCGUCUUGAAACACGGACCAAGGAGUCUAACAUAUGUGCAAGUCAUUGGGUAUUUUUAAUAAAACCCAAUGGCGUAAUUAACUUAACUGAUUUAAUGGGAUUAGUUUAUAUUUUGUUAUGAAAUAUUAAUUCAAUCCCGGGGCGUUCUAUAUAGUUAUGUAUAAUAGUAUUUAUAUUAUUUAUGCCUCUAACUUGAGCGUACCUUGAGC